RNAcentral lists this ribosomal RNA (254 nucleotides) under uncultured bacterium. Its description in RNAcentral is "partial 16S ribosomal RNA". It matches the Rfam family "Bacterial small subunit ribosomal RNA", at positions 524 to 776 of the family's 1533-position model. The record is from RNAcentral.
CACGUAGGGUCCAAGCGUUGUCCGGAUUUAUUGGGCGUAAAGAGCUCGUAGGCGGCUUGGUAAGUCGAGUGUGAAAACUCUGGGCUCAACUCAGAGACGCCACUCGAUACUGCUAUGGCUAGAGUCCGGUAGGGGAGUGUGGAAUUCCCGGUGUAGCGGUGAAAUGCGCAGAUAUCGGGAGGAACACCAGUGGCGAAAGCGACUUCCUGGACCAGUACCGACGUUCAGGCACGAAAGCGUGGGGAGCAAACAGG